UGGUGACUAUAGCAAGGAGGUCACACCUGUUCCCAUGCCGAACACAGAAGUUAAGCUCCUUAGCGUCGAUGGGCAGUUUUAAAUCGGAGAAUUAGCUCAGCUGGGAGAGCAUCUGCCUUACAAGC
RNAcentral lists this ribosomal RNA (125 nucleotides) under Staphylococcus aureus. Lineage: Bacteria; Bacillati; Bacillota; Bacilli; Caryophanales; Staphylococcaceae. The record is from RNAcentral.